GUGGAUUAGAUACCCUGGUAGUCCUAGCCCUAAACGGUGCACGUUUGCUGUAAAAGGAAUCGACCCCUUUUGUGGCGAAGCUAACGCGUUAAACGUGCCGCCUGGGGAGUACGGUCGCAAGAUUAAAACUCAAAGAAAUUGACGGGGGCCUGCACAAGCGGUGGAGUAUGUGGCUUAAUUCGAUGCAACGCGAAGAACCUUACCUGGCCUUGACAUGCAAGUGGUAGAACCAUGAAAGUGGGACGAUCCCGCAAGGGAAGCUUGCACAGGUGCUGCAUGGUUGUCGCCAACU
This 292-nucleotide ribosomal RNA is filed under the name uncultured bacterium. RNAcentral describes it as "partial 16S ribosomal RNA". It matches the Rfam family "Bacterial small subunit ribosomal RNA", at positions 773 to 1060 of the family's 1533-position model. The record is from RNAcentral.